This is a long non-coding RNA of Vitis vinifera (wine grape), 366 nucleotides long. RefSeq lists it as uncharacterized. The transcript is spliced from 2 exons. The record is from RefSeq and is a predicted model, not a curated record. Lineage: Eukaryota; Viridiplantae; Streptophyta; Magnoliopsida; Vitales; Vitaceae.
GAAAGGAGCACAAUCCAUGUAUGUAAGAGGCUAAUUCAUGUUACAAAGGAAACUUGUUUGCUAAAAGAAGAGAAACCAUUGUGUUAAAGAAGGCGAAGUCAAAAACCAUGAAGAUUACAUCAGUGAACUCAUUAGGAGGUUGAACUAUUCUUUUAAAGAUUAUGGUUUAUUUUAGUAGUCUUGAUAUCAAUGUUUGUUCUUAUGUUAGAAUUAGAAAUUCUUAUUGAAAUAUUUUGAUAUAAUUAAUAAGUUUAUGUGUAAUUAAUAUAUAUAGGUGGUUACAUUAAUUGUUUAAACUAGGUUCAUGUAUAUCAAUAUUUGGAUAUAUUUUAAUUAAUAAAAUUUAAUUUAAUUUUAUUGGUUGUA